UACGUAAGAGGCGAGCGUUGUCCGGAGUUACUGGGCGUAAAGGGUGCGCAGGCGGCGGUUCGCGUGGCGAGAUGAAAUCUCCUGGCUUACCUGGGAGGGUGGUCGCCAGACGGGAUCGCUUGAGGGUCGGAGAGGGGCGUGGAAUUCCGGGUGGAGCGGUGAAAUGCGUAGAGAUCCGGAGGAACACCGACGGCGUAGGCAGCGCCCUGGACGACACCUGACGCUGAGACGCGAAAGCGUGGGGAGCAAACAGG
Molecule: ribosomal RNA, 254 nt
Filed under: uncultured bacterium
Lineage: Bacteria
Description: partial 16S ribosomal RNA
Rfam family: Bacterial small subunit ribosomal RNA
Source: RNAcentral